GCGGAUGGCCGGAUGACCGCGGCGAGCAAUCGUCGAGGAAAGUCCGGACUCCAUGAAGGUACGGUGCCGGGUAACGCCCGGCGGGGGCAACCCCAGGGAAAGCGCCACAGAGAACAGACCGCCCAUGCUUGCAUGGGUAAGGGUGAAACGGUGGGGUAAGAGCCCACCGCGGGACUGGCAACAGGACCGGCAAGGCAAGCCCCACCGGGAGCAACGCCGAAUAGGGACCGCGUGUCGCAAGACAGGGCUACCUUUGCCCCAGCAGGUCCGGGUUGGCAGCUAGAGCCCGUCAGCAAUGGCGGGCCCAGAGGAAUGGUCAUCCAGAGGGGCAACCCUUGGACAAAAUCCGGCUUACAGGCCGUCCGCGCAU
RNAcentral lists this RNase P RNA (370 nucleotides) under Paracoccus sulfuroxidans. RNAcentral describes it as "Bacterial RNase P class A". It matches the Rfam family "Bacterial RNase P class A". Rfam says of the family: Ribonuclease P (RNase P) is a ubiquitous endoribonuclease, found in archaea, bacteria and eukarya as well as chloroplasts and mitochondria. The record is from Rfam by way of RNAcentral. Lineage: Bacteria; Pseudomonadati; Pseudomonadota; Alphaproteobacteria; Rhodobacterales; Paracoccaceae.